ACGGGAGGUAGCAGUGGGGAAUAUUGGACAAUGGGGGAAACCCUGAUCCAGCGACGCCGCGUGAGUGAAGAAGUAUUUCGGUAUGUAAAGCUCUAUCAGCAGGGAAGAUAAUGACGGUACCUGACUAAGAAGCCCCGGCUAACUACGUGCCAGCAGCCGCGGUAAUACGUAGGGGGCAAGCGUUAUCCGGAUUUACUGGGUGUAAAGGGAGCGUAGACGGAAGGCCAAGUCUGAUGUGAAAACCCAGGGCUCAACCCUGGGACUGCAUUGGAAACUGGUCAUCUAGAGUGCGGGAGGGGUAAGCGGAAUUCCUAGUGUAGCGGUGAAAUGCGUAGAUAUUAGGAGGAACACCAGUGGCGAAGGCGGCUUACUGGACUGUAACUGACGUUGAGGCUCGAAAGCGUGGGGAGCAAACAGGAUUAGAUACCCUGGUA
This 434-nucleotide ribosomal RNA is filed under the name uncultured Clostridium sp. RNAcentral's name for it is "partial 16S ribosomal RNA". It matches the Rfam family "Bacterial small subunit ribosomal RNA", at positions 341 to 792 of the family's 1533-position model. Lineage: Bacteria; Bacillati; Bacillota; Clostridia; Eubacteriales; Clostridiaceae. The record is from RNAcentral.